GCGUUGGCCCAAUUGAUUGAUGGUGCUUGCACCUGAUUGAUUUUGGUCGCCAACGAGUGGCGGACGGGUGAGUAACACGUAGGUAACCUGCCCAGAAGCGGGGGACAACAUUUGGAAACAGAUGCUAAUACCGCAUAACAACGUUGUUCGCAUGAACAACGCUUAAAAGAUGGCUUCUCGCUAUCACUUCUGGAUGGACCUGCGGUGCAUUAGCUUGUUGGUGGGGUAACGGCCUACCAAGGCGAUGAUGCAUAGCCGAGUUGAGAGACUGAUCGGCCACAAUGGGACUGAGACACGGCCCAUACUCCUACGGGAGGCAGCAGUAGGGAAUCUUCCACAAUGGGCGCAAGCCUGAUGGAGCAACACCGCGUGAGUGAAGAAGGGUUUCGGCUCGUAAAGCUCUGUUGUUAAAGAAGAACACGUAUGAGAGUAACUGUUCAUACGUUGACGGUAUUUAACCAGAAAGUCACGGCUAACUACGUGCCAGCAGCCGCGGUAAUACGUAGGUGGCAAGCGUUAUCCGGAUUUAUUGGGCGUAAAGAGAGUGCAGGCGGUUUUCUAAGUCUGAUGUGAAAGCCUUCGGCUUAACCGGAGAAGUGCAUCGGAAACUGGAUAACUUGAGUGCAGAAGAGGGUAGUGGAACUCCAUGUGUAGCGGUGGAAUGCGUAGAUAUAUGGAAGAACACCAGUGGCGAAGGCGGCUACCUGGUCUGCAACUGACGCUGAGACUCGAAAGCAUGGGUAGCGAACAGGAUUAG
This 757-nucleotide ribosomal RNA is filed under the name Limosilactobacillus fermentum. RNAcentral describes it as "bacterial SSU rRNA". It matches the Rfam family "Bacterial small subunit ribosomal RNA", at positions 39 to 781 of the family's 1533-position model. Lineage: Bacteria; Bacillati; Bacillota; Bacilli; Lactobacillales; Lactobacillaceae. The record is from RNAcentral.